ACCACCUGCCUAUUGAGUAGGUCCCACUUUUCCCAACCAAAACAGUAAUACACUGUGUGUUCUGACAACUUUCUAUCAGGAGUCUGAGCUACAGCAGCUCUUCAAUUGGAUUGGACUAAACGGGCUAUUUUUCACUUUCCAUCUGCAUCAGCGACCCAUCACCCUGUCACCGGUUCUCCAUCUUUGAACCACGAUUCGUAUGUCCUGACCAUUGCAGACCAGGAACAUCCCACAAGCUCUGCAGUCAUUUUAACAGUAUACAGUACUGUUUUCUAUUGAUGGGAAUCACCAGUGCCACCCGAUACGAUAUUAUCUCGAAACGUAGGUGCUGAUUCGACCUGUAUUGAUCUUCUAUACUGAUCCUGUGCUGCCUGCGAAUGUGGGAAUAGUUUAGAGUGUUCCAUCUGCAGGAUUAUAGAGGACCUGCAACAUUCUACCACCUCAAAUACGAACAAAUAAAUAAUAAUAUAAAAAAAAAGAUAAUACAAAUAAGAAAAUACAUUUUGUAGUUAGCGUGCCAAUACAUGAAUUACAACAAAAAAGAAGCACGAUACAACACUGAAUUAUUCUUUCCUCAUCUCUAAUGUUUUAAAGUUUUUAAUUGUUACACAUAAAUGUACAAACCUCUUGUGUAUUGUUUAAGUUAUUCAGAAAGAAAACAAAACAUCCCAAGAAUUUGUCCUUGAAUGUGUUUGCAC
Clarias gariepinus (North African catfish) is the source of this 698-nucleotide long non-coding RNA. RefSeq lists it as uncharacterized. The transcript has 3 exons. NCBI's taxonomy places the organism in Eukaryota, Metazoa, Chordata, Actinopteri, Siluriformes, Clariidae. The record is from RefSeq and is a predicted model, not a curated record.